This is a long non-coding RNA of Myxocyprinus asiaticus (Chinese sucker), 1520 nucleotides long. RefSeq lists it as uncharacterized. The record is from RefSeq and is a predicted model, not a curated record. NCBI's taxonomy places the organism in Eukaryota, Metazoa, Chordata, Actinopteri, Cypriniformes, Catostomidae. The transcript is spliced from 5 exons.
ACCCCAGACCAGUCCGAGCCCGAGCCGCCAACUGCUGCAAACUCACCGCGGAGAGACCGGAGUCUGCAUGACAAAGAUUUGAAGAAUUGAUUAGCUGGUGUAAAGUGGUUUCACACCAGAAACGACUGAGAGCUGAAUGUGAGUUUGAGGAGGCUUUAUGACCGGGACAUGAAGGCUGAAGGUCAAGUAUUAACACUUAUAACACUGAAUGGGGAGUGAUUGUGGGGAAAUUAGAGGAGCACAGGAAGAACAAAUGCCAAAAUCAGUGUUCGUCACACACCUGUGAGUAACAGCAGAGUCCAGAUCCGGAACGCUGAUCAGCGGAAGAUUUCCAUUCAUCAUAGAAGAGCGCGACUGCUGCCAUACAAUCCCACCUGGUCAAAUGAAUACAUCAGCACAUGACUGUCUCUACAGCAAGACAUCAACGCCUACUUUUACAUCAUCGCAACCUUGGCCUGCCCACUGGUGCUCAGUCAGAGAGGUGAAGAGGACAGAACAAGAUGGGCCUACUAUUCAUCUGCACCAAAGUGUACUUACACAGGACACCUUCUUCUGCCAAUCUGGACUAAAAGUUUUUAAUUACUGAAUUUAAAAAAAUGCUGUGAUGCCUAAGAGAUGAAGAAAUGAUCAGAUAUGGACCUAUCUUAAGUCCAGAAUAAAUUGACGGUGGAAGGUGUGAGAUGUAGUGCCUGUUAAGACCAGCGUCUCUGCUUUGGUCGCCGCUGAAGCAUCCAAACAUCAGGAAAUAGUGACUGAAGUUUAACAACAUUCCUGAUCGCAUCAGUGCAGGAUGAUAUGUCUGGGUGUCAUGUUUUACCGUGGAUUGUAUUAUGUGUGUUCAGCACAUUUCAGCAUGGAUUGCUUGUGAACAAGUCACAAUAUGAUUCAAGCUUUGUAAACGCAAGUUAUUAAAAGAUGGGGCAGUUAAAAACACUAUUGGACCUGACCGCAAAGCAGUAAGUAAACAGGUCCAUUCAUGAAUGUUUUAUGUCGUGACUCUUUCCAGUGCUGCUGUGCUUGAGUGAACAGUUUGACACAUUCAGAUGCAAUGGGUUGGAUGUGCAUUGUGUGUAAAACCCUGAAAUUUUGUAUUGUAUUGUUGUGGAGCUAGUCUUCUCAUCUGAUUGAGUUUCAGAUGUACAGUAUAGUAUGGCUGUAUUCGAGGGUCUGCACAAUGUGGAUAAAUCUACAGUGGGUGUUAACACUGAAGUUUAAAGGACACACUGAGGGCAAAACCGAGUGUUUCAGACAGAGGGCCAGAGACAGGCUGAAAAAUUAUCAUAGAUUACUCAAUUAUGACUGUUUUGGUGCAAACCAAAAAACCAAAUGUUACUAACAUUAUAAGUAUGUCAUGACACUGUUAAGGUUAGUAAGUACUAUCACUUAUAAUGCACUAACACUUAUAAUGUUUAUAUUUUGUAGCUAUACUUUUGAAACAGUGUGUAUUUGAGCAUUUAUGGACUGGCCACAUUAACUUACAGUGUAAGUCCCCUAUUAUAACUGCUUUUUUUUAAUAAACG